CCUACGGGAGGCAGCAGUGAGGAAUAUUGGUCAAUGGACGAGAGUCUGAACCAGCCAAGUAGCGUGAAGGAUGACUGCCCUAUGGGUUGUAAACUUCUUUUAUAAAGGAAUAAAACGAGGCACGUGUGCCUUUUUGCAUGUACUUUAUGAAUAAGGAUCGGCUAACUCCGUGCCAGCAGCCGCGGUAAUACGGAGGAUCCGAGCGUUAUCCGGAUUUAUUGGGUUUAAAGGGAGCGUAGAUGGGUUGUUAAGUCAGUUGUGAAGGUUUGUGGCUCAAACGUAAAAUUGAAAUUGAUACUGGAAGUCUUGAGUACAGUUGAGGUAGGCGGAAUUCGUGGUGUAGCGGUGAAAUGCUUAGAUAUCACGAAGAACCCCGAUUGCGAAGGCAGCUUACUAAACUGUGACUGACAUUGAUGCUCGAAAGUGUGGGUAUCAAACAGGAUUAGAUACCCGUGUAGUC
RNAcentral lists this ribosomal RNA (460 nucleotides) under uncultured bacterium. RNAcentral describes it as "partial 16S ribosomal RNA". It matches the Rfam family "Bacterial small subunit ribosomal RNA", at positions 338 to 795 of the family's 1533-position model. The record is from RNAcentral.